RNAcentral lists this ribosomal RNA (521 nucleotides) under uncultured bacterium. Its description in RNAcentral is "bacterial SSU rRNA". It matches the Rfam family "Bacterial small subunit ribosomal RNA", at positions 8 to 524 of the family's 1533-position model. The record is from RNAcentral.
AGAGUUUGAUCAUGGCUCAGAUUGAACGCUGGCGGCAUGCUUUACACAUGCAAGUCGAACGGCAGCGCGGGCUUCGGCCUGGCGGCGAGUGGCGAACGGGUGAGUAAUGCAUCGGAACGUACCCAGUCGUGGGGGAUAACACAUCGAAAGAUGUGCUAAUACCGCAUACGUCCUGAGGGAGAAAGCGGGGGACCUUCGGGCCUCGCGCGAUUGGAGCGGCCGAUGUCAGAUUAGCUAGUAGGUGGGGUAAAGGCCCACCUAGGCGACGAUCUGUAGCGGGUCUGAGAGGAUGAUCCGCCACACUGGGACUGAGACACGGCCCAGACUCCUACGGGAGGCAGCAGUGGGGAAUUUUGGACAAUGGGGGCAACCCUGAUCCAGCCAUGCCGCGUGAGUGAAGAAGGCCUUCGGGUUGUAAAGCUCUUUCGGCCGGGAAGAAAUCGCGCUCUUUAAUAGAGGGUGUGGAUGACGGUACCGGACUAAGAAGCACCGGCUAACUACGUGCCAGCAGCCGCGGUAAU